CUACGAAAACCGGAGAAGGUUAUCACGGGAGAAACACGGCGGGUGCGAAAAUCCGGCGGGUAUAGGUAGACAAACAAGAAAGGGAGGGCAGGUCCUCAAGUAAAGGGUAAGGGAGAACCGAUGUUGAAAUUGACAAACAGAACUGAGACUGGCUUAGAAGAAGGGAGAACAUUAAGAAAGCAUA
This 184-nucleotide ribosomal RNA is filed under the name Cronobacter sakazakii. Its description in RNAcentral is "partial 23S ribosomal RNA". Lineage: Bacteria; Pseudomonadati; Pseudomonadota; Gammaproteobacteria; Enterobacterales; Enterobacteriaceae. The record is from RNAcentral.